GGAAUAUAGUUUAGUUGGUAGAGGGCUUGCCUUCCAGCACAAGGCCCUGGGUUCAAUCCCCAGUACCA
This 68-nucleotide transfer RNA is filed under the name Marmota monax (woodchuck). Its description in RNAcentral is "tRNA.Undet". The record is from RNAcentral. Lineage: Eukaryota; Metazoa; Chordata; Mammalia; Rodentia; Sciuridae.